Anoplopoma fimbria (sablefish) is the source of this 647-nucleotide long non-coding RNA. RefSeq lists it as uncharacterized. NCBI's taxonomy places the organism in Eukaryota, Metazoa, Chordata, Actinopteri, Perciformes, Anoplopomatidae. The transcript is spliced from 9 exons. The record is from RefSeq and is a predicted model, not a curated record.
UCAAGGGGACACCUCCGAGCUGCAGUCAUGCUGGAGAGCAGACUCCUGACUCCUGAAGAUUUUGAGUUUGUUCGUCUCCUCGGCUGACGAUGUUUCAUCCUCUGAACCGUUGCCUGCAGUCCUCUCAAGCGUUCCAUGAGCCGGCAGACACAAUGACCUUCAGGGCCACCGUACCGGAUCCUUCAAGAGCACGAGGCAGAAAGACGUGGACUCCACUGAACCUGGAGACCGGAUGAACGUCUCGCUGACGGACAAACGUCCACCGGAGUUAAACUCAACGGAGAUGGUGACGACCAAUCGGAGCCUCUGAAGCAGGGUGACGGUCUCUGCUGGACGUCCAGACUCCGCUGAUGUUCAUCAGCUGGCUCUAUGUGAAGGAGACGUCUGGAUCUCUGAAGGGCCUCACCUGUGAAGUGAUUAAAGCAGGGUGACGGUCUCUGCUGGACGUCCAGGCUCCGCUGAUGUUCAUCAGCUGGAUGAACGUCUCGCUGACGGACAAACGUCCACUGGAGUUAAACUCAACGGAGAUGGUGACGACCAAUCAGAGCCUCUGAAGCAGGUCGGACGGAGGAAACCAGGAGCUGCAGUGAAACGGUUUCUCUUCUGAGGACUCGUCCAUCAAAUGUUUACAAAAAGAAAUAAAGAUC